GAUGAACGCUGGCGGCGUGCUUAACACAUGCAAGUCGAACGAUGAAGCCCAGCUUGCUGGGUGGAUUAGUGGCGAACGGGUGAGUAACACGUGAGUAACCUGCCCUUGACUCUGGGAUAAGCCUGGGAAACUGGGUCUAAUACUGGAUAUGACUUCUCAUCGCAUGGUGGGGGGUGGAAAGAUUUAUUGGUCUUGGAUGGACUCGCGGCCUAUCAGCUUGUUGGUGAGGUAAUGGCUCACCAAGGCGACGACGGGUAGCCGGCCUGAGAGGGUGACCGGCCACACUGGGACUGAGACACGGCCCAGACUCCUACGGGAGGCAGCAGUGGGGAAUAUUGCACAAUGGGCGCAAGCCUGAUGCAGCGACGCCGCGUGGGGGAUGACGGCCUUCGGGUUGUAAACCUCUUUCAGUAGGGAAGAAGCGAGAGUGACGGUACCUGCAGAAGAAGCGCCGGCUAACUACGUG
RNAcentral lists this ribosomal RNA (466 nucleotides) under uncultured bacterium. RNAcentral's name for it is "partial 16S ribosomal RNA". It matches the Rfam family "Bacterial small subunit ribosomal RNA", at positions 28 to 507 of the family's 1533-position model. The record is from RNAcentral.